This 520-nucleotide ribosomal RNA is filed under the name uncultured Glomus. RNAcentral's name for it is "SSU rRNA". It matches the Rfam family "Eukaryotic small subunit ribosomal RNA", at positions 569 to 1091 of the family's 1831-position model. The record is from RNAcentral. Lineage: Eukaryota; Fungi; Glomeromycota; Glomeromycetes; Glomerales; Glomeraceae.
AGCAGCCGCGGUAAUUCCAGCUCCAAUAGCGUAUAUUAAAGUUGUUGCAGUUAAAAAGCUCGUAGUUGAAUUUCGGGGUUAGUAGGUUGGUCAUGCCUCUGGUAUGUACUGGUCUCACUGAUUCCUCCUUCCUGAUGAGCCGUAAUGCCAUUAAUUUGGUGUUGCGGGGAAUUUGGACUGUUACUUUGAAAAAAUUAGAGUGUUUAAAGCAAGCUAACGCUUGAAUACAUUAGCAUGGAAUAAUGAAAUAGGACGUUCGAUCCUAUUUUGUUGGUUUCUAGGAUUGACGUAAUGAUUAAUAGGGAUAGUUGGGGGCAUUAGUAUUCAAUUGUCAGAGGUGAAAUUCUUGGAUUUAUUGAAGACUAACUACUGCGAAAGCAUUUGCCAAGGAUGUUUUCAUUAAUCAAGAACGAAAGUUAGGGGAUCGAAGACGAUCAGAUACCGUCGUAGUCUUAACCAUAAACUAUGCCGACUAGGGAUCGGAUGGUGUUAAUUUUUAAUGACUCAUUCGGCGCCUUAC